This 88-nucleotide small nucleolar RNA is filed under the name Ochotona princeps (American pika). RNAcentral describes it as "Small nucleolar RNA SNORA74 (ENSOPRG00000023919.1)". The record is from RNAcentral. Lineage: Eukaryota; Metazoa; Chordata; Mammalia; Lagomorpha; Ochotonidae.
CCCAACUGUAGACAGCUGCCUAGGUUGCCUUGUCCCUAGGCAAGUGUUACACUGUUGGUAAAAAAGUACCCAAUAGCUGGCAGACAUU